RNAcentral lists this ribosomal RNA (253 nucleotides) under uncultured bacterium. Its description in RNAcentral is "partial 16S ribosomal RNA". It matches the Rfam family "Bacterial small subunit ribosomal RNA", at positions 524 to 776 of the family's 1533-position model. The record is from RNAcentral.
UACGAAGGGGGCAAGCGUUGUUCGGAAUCAUUGGGCGUAAAGCGCGUGUAGGUGGUCUAUUAUGUCGGGUGUGAAAUCCCUGGGCUCAACCGAGGAAGUGCAUUCGAAACUGAUAGACUAGAAGAUGGUAGAGGAAGGUGGAAUUCCAAGUGUAGAGGUGAAAUUCGUAGAUAUUUGGAGGAAUACCGGUGGCGAAGGCGGCCUUCUGGGCCAUUACUGACACUGAGAAGCGAAAGCAUGGGGAGCGAACAGG